CCAGACAGCCAGGAUGUUGGCUUAGAAGCAGCCAUCAUUUAAAGAAAGCGUAAUAGCUCACUGGUCGAGUCGGCCUGCGCGGAAGAUGUAACGGGGCUAAACCAUGCACCGAAGCUGCGGCAGCGACACUCAGGUGUUGUUGGGUAGGGGAGCGUUCUGUAAGCCUGUGAAGGUGGCCUGUGAGGGUUGCUGGAGGUAUCAGAAGUGCGAAUGCUGACAUAAGUAACGAUAAAGCGGGUGAAAAGCCCGCUCGCCGGAAGAC
RNAcentral lists this ribosomal RNA (262 nucleotides) under Salmonella enterica subsp. enterica serovar Muenchen. RNAcentral's name for it is "partial 23S ribosomal RNA". It matches the Rfam family "Bacterial large subunit ribosomal RNA", at positions 1085 to 1345 of the family's 2925-position model. Lineage: Bacteria; Pseudomonadati; Pseudomonadota; Gammaproteobacteria; Enterobacterales; Enterobacteriaceae. RNAcentral also lists the same sequence under 1 other name. The record is from RNAcentral.